This 482-nucleotide ribosomal RNA is filed under the name uncultured bacterium. RNAcentral's name for it is "partial 16S ribosomal RNA". It matches the Rfam family "Bacterial small subunit ribosomal RNA", at positions 28 to 507 of the family's 1533-position model. The record is from RNAcentral.
GAUGAACGCUAGCGGCAGGCCUAAUACAUGCAAGUCGGACGGGAUUCAGGAGCUUGCUUCUGAUGAGAGUGGCGCACGGGUGCGUAACACGUAUGUAACCUACCUUUAUCAGGGGGAUAGCCUCUCGAAAGAGAGAUUAAGCCCGCAUAAAAUCACAGCACAGCAUUGUGUAAUGAUCAAAUAUUUAUAGGAUAAAGAUGGGCAUGCGGAACAUUAGCUAGAUGGCGGGGUAACGGCCCACCAUGGCGACGAUGUUUAGGGGAUCUGAGAGGAUGGCCCCCCACACUGGUACUGAGACACGGACCAGACUCCUACGGGAGGCAGCAGUAAGGAAUAUUGGUCAAUGGGCGGAAGCCUGAACCAGCCAUGCCGCGUGCAGGAAGACGGCCCUACGGGUUGUAAACUGCUUUUAUACGGGAAUAAACCCAGAUACGUGUAUCUGGCUGAAUUUACUGUAAGAAUAAGGAUCGGCUAACCCCGUG